GAUGAACGCUGGCGGCGUGCCUAAUACAUGCAAGUCGAGCGAACAGACGAGGGGCUUGCUCCUCUGACGUUAGCGGCGGACGGGUGAGUAACACGUGGAUAACCUACCUAUAAGACUGGGAUAACUUCGGGAAACCGGAGCUAAUACCGGAUAAUAUAUUGAACCGCAUGGUUCAAUAGUGAAAGACGGUUUUGCUGUCACUUAUAGAUGGAUCCGCGCCGCAUUAGCUAGUUGGUAAGGUAACGGCUUACCAAGGCGACGAUGCGUAGCCGACCUGAGAGGGGGAUCGGCCACACUGGAACUGAGACACGGUCCAGACUCCUACGGGAGGCGGCAGUAGGGAAUCUUCCGCAAUGGGCGAAAGCCUGACGGAGCAACGCCGCGUGAGUGAUGAAGGUCUUCGGAUCGUAAAACUCUGUUAUUAGGGAAGAACAAAUGUGUAAGUAACUAUGCACGUCUUGACGGUACCUAAUCAGAAAGCCACGGCUAACUACGUG
RNAcentral lists this ribosomal RNA (497 nucleotides) under uncultured bacterium. Its description in RNAcentral is "partial 16S ribosomal RNA". It matches the Rfam family "Bacterial small subunit ribosomal RNA", at positions 28 to 507 of the family's 1533-position model. The record is from RNAcentral.